This 414-nucleotide ribosomal RNA is filed under the name uncultured bacterium. RNAcentral's name for it is "bacterial SSU rRNA". It matches the Rfam family "Archaeal small subunit ribosomal RNA", at positions 726 to 1135 of the family's 1478-position model. The record is from RNAcentral.
AGAUAAUAGAUACCCGGGUAGUCCCAGCUGUAAACGAUGCAGACUCGGUGAUGAGUUGGCUACAUGCCAUCUCAGUGCCGCAGGGAAGCCGUUAAGUUUGCCGCCUGGGGAGUACGGUCGCAAGACUGAAACUUAAAGGAAUUGGCGGGGAGCACCACAAGGGUGAAGCCUGCGGUUCAAUUGGAGUCAACGCCGGAAAUCUUACCGGGGGUCGGACAGCAGUAUGAAGGUCAAGCUGAAGACUUUACCAGACAAGCUGAGAGGAGGUGCAUGGCCGUCGCCAGCUCGUGCCGUGAGGUGUCCUGUUAAGUCAGGUAACGAGCGAGACCCCUGCCUCUAGUUGCUACCUUUACUCUCAGGAGUAGUGGAGCUAAUUAGAGGGACUGCCGUCGCUGAGACGGAGGAAGGAGGGGG